RNAcentral lists this transfer RNA (35 nucleotides) under Alboglossiphonia heteroclita. Its description in RNAcentral is "partial tRNA-Leu". Lineage: Eukaryota; Metazoa; Annelida; Clitellata; Rhynchobdellida; Glossiphoniidae. The record is from RNAcentral. RNAcentral also lists the same sequence under 2 other names.
UUUAAACCCUAAAUAUGAUUUAUAAUCUCAUAUUA